AGAGUUUGAUCCUGGUUCAGGAUGGAACGCUGGCGGCGUGCUUAACACAUGCAAGUCGAACGAGGGUCCAACCUUCGGGUGAAGACCGAGUGGCGAACGGGUGAGUAACACGUGGGGAACCUGCCCUUCUCUCUGGGAUAACGUCGAGAAAUCGGUGCUAAUACCGGAUACUCCUUGCGGAUCGCAUGGUCUGCUCGGGAAAGCUCCGGCGGAGAGGGAUGGCCCCGCGGCCCAUUAGCUAGUUGGUGAGGUAAUGGCCCACCAAGGCGACGAUGGGUAGCCGAGCUGAGAGGCUGAUCGGCCACACUGGGACUGAGACACGGCCCAGACUCCUACGGGAGGCAGCAGUGGGGAAUUUUGCACAAUGGGCGAAAGCCUGAUGCAGCAACGCCGCGUGCGGGAUGAAGGCCCUCGGGUUGUAAACCGCUUUCAGCAGGGACGAAUAUGACGGUACCUGCAGAAGAAGCCCCGGCUAACUACGUGCCAGCAGCCGCGGUAAUAC
RNAcentral lists this ribosomal RNA (502 nucleotides) under uncultured Actinomycetes bacterium. RNAcentral describes it as "bacterial SSU rRNA". It matches the Rfam family "Bacterial small subunit ribosomal RNA", at positions 8 to 526 of the family's 1533-position model. The record is from RNAcentral. Lineage: Bacteria; Bacillati; Actinomycetota; Actinomycetes.